GCCCGGGUGGUGAAAUCGGUAGACACAAGGGAUUUAAAAUCCCUCGGCGGCAACGCCAUGCGAGUUCAAGUCUCGCCCCGGGCACCA
This 87-nucleotide transfer RNA is filed under the name Budvicia aquatica. RNAcentral describes it as "tRNA-Leu". It matches the Rfam family "tRNA". Rfam says of the family: Transfer RNA (tRNA) molecules are approximately 80 nucleotides in length. Their secondary structure includes four short double-helical elements and three loops (D, anti-codon, and T loops). Further hydrogen bonds mediate the characteristic L-shaped molecular structure. tRNAs have two regions of fundamental functional importance: the anti-codon, which is responsible for specific mRNA codon recognition, and the 3' end, to which the tRNAs corresponding amino acid is attached (by aminoacyl-tRNA synthetases). tRNAs cope with the degeneracy of the genetic code in two manners: having more than one tRNA (with a specific anti-codon) for a particular amino acid; and 'wobble' base-pairing, i.e. permitting non-standard base-pairing at the 3rd anti-codon position. RNAcentral also lists the same sequence under 1 other name. The record is from RNAcentral. Lineage: Bacteria; Pseudomonadati; Pseudomonadota; Gammaproteobacteria; Enterobacterales; Budviciaceae.